Molecule: ribosomal RNA, 408 nt
Filed under: uncultured bacterium
Lineage: Bacteria
Description: bacterial SSU rRNA
Rfam family: Bacterial small subunit ribosomal RNA
Source: RNAcentral
GUGCCGCGUGUGUGAAGAAGGCCUUCGGGUUGUAAAGCACUUUCAGUAGGGAGGAAGGUAGUGUAGUUAACACCUGCAUUAUUUGACGUUACCUACAGAAGAAGCACCGGCUAACUCCGUGCCAGCAGCCGCGGUAAUACGGAGGGUGCGAGCGUUAAUCGGAAUUACUGGGCGUAAAGCGCAUGCAGGCGGCCUGUUAAGUCAGAUGUGAAAGCCCGGGGCUUAACCUCGGAAUUGCAUUUGAAACUGGCAGGCUAGAGUCUUGUAGAGGGGGGUAGGAAUUUCAGGUGUAGCGGUGAAAUGCGUAGAGAUCUGAAGGAAUACCAGUGGCGAAGGCGGCCCCCUGGACAAAGACUGACGCUCAGAUGCGAAAGCGUGGGGAGCAAACAGGAUUAGAUACCCUGGUAG